This 21-nucleotide non-coding RNA is filed under the name Rattus norvegicus (Norway rat). Lineage: Eukaryota; Metazoa; Chordata; Mammalia; Rodentia; Muridae. The record is from RNAcentral.
UGGUUAUGAUCUUCAAUUUCC